GUCUGGCUCUGGUUCACAGAUAGAGAUCAGACCCAUCCCAUUUCCUGCCUCUAACUUCACUGUACUCUGAAUAAAGGGAAAUCAUGAGUCUGAAGCCUAACUUCCAACCUAUAUCUAUCCCACUCCCCCCUCAACACCUGUACUUUGCCCCUAGCUGUUCCCCAAGACCAAAUUUCCAAACUUCUCUCUCUCCCCUUGGCCUAGCAUCCUGGCUGACAGCAUCAUUCUCUCAGGUCUUCUAGGGACUGGUGAAGGCACAUUAAAUCUGUUGCUUAUGAGCACAAGUUUGUUUAGGGUAAAUCAGAGUUUACAUUUAGGAGAGCAUUCUGAAGGCUAGUUGUAUGGUGUCAUUUAUCCAAUCAUGAUCUACAGAUAAUAUCUGGGUAUGACUCUGCUUUGUUACUCAGGGUUAUAAGAAAUUAUAGAAUAAAAUAUUUGGGUUUCAUGAAGACCUACCUCAUGCUGACAGUCAUAAUUAUUUUUUGAACAAAUCAGUAUUUCCCUCAUGGGAAAUAAGCAACCAUGUUACUGCAGGUGAGAACAUAGGAAAAGGUUGUUGUUUUAAAUAUGCUAAUUUUUGUUAUCUACUUAUACAUUGGAGAGUACAAACUUCAAGAAAUAGAAUUGCAAAGUUCGACUUGGCUGUUGUUAGUGAUUCAGGAAUCACCAUAGACAGGCCCUCUGCUGAUGUGACAACUGUUGGUGGUUUCAUUACAGCCUAAGCAGGAAAAAGGGUACAAGAGAGUACAAAGGGCAGAUUGGUGACAUCAGCCUUCUCUUCUGGUCUAGGGACUUCCCUACCAUGCCUGCAAUGAUUGAUUGGACCCCCAUGAUUGGUUGAUGUGAAUCUCCUAUUAUUCUCUGUCUUUUGAUAUUGUUCACAAUCUGGGUUGUUUGAGUCUUUGGCUGUUAUUUUCUGAUUUCUUAGAAGGUUUGAUUUUACAAUUAAAUAGCUUAGGUUUAAUGACAGGGAUUCUUUGCACAGUGUCUCCAUUUUGGAUUAAUCUGUUAACCUCCUAGUAUACAUACACAAGCUCCAUCUCUAUUACAGCCCCCCCCCCAUAAAUUCUGUUUAAUAUAUCUCCUACUGAAA
RNAcentral lists this long non-coding RNA (1093 nucleotides) under Marmota monax (woodchuck). The record is from RNAcentral. Lineage: Eukaryota; Metazoa; Chordata; Mammalia; Rodentia; Sciuridae.